RNAcentral lists this transfer RNA (69 nucleotides) under Grammomys surdaster. RNAcentral describes it as "tRNA-Ala". It matches the Rfam family "tRNA". Rfam says of the family: Transfer RNA (tRNA) molecules are approximately 80 nucleotides in length. The record is from RNAcentral. Lineage: Eukaryota; Metazoa; Chordata; Mammalia; Rodentia; Muridae.
GAGGUCUUAGUUUAACUAAAGCGAUUGAUUUGCACUCAGUAGAUGUAAGAUACAGACUUGCAGUCCUUG